Molecule: long non-coding RNA, 351 nt
Organism: Calliphora vicina (urban bluebottle blowfly)
Lineage: Eukaryota; Metazoa; Arthropoda; Insecta; Diptera; Calliphoridae
Exons: 4
Source: RefSeq, a predicted model, not a curated record
CGUUGGCUAAAAGUUUUAAUUAAACUUUGCUGUAUGUGUGAUUAAAUUUUUGUUGCGGAAACAUCGUUUGUUAUUUAACAAGAUUAUAAUGAUGAAAAACAUGAAAUGUGAAAUAACCAACAGAAAACCCCAACAGCAGCAACAACAAAGGCCAUACAGUGAUUUCUUGGAUUUAAUAUAAAACGAAUGAAGUCUCAAUGACGCCUGUUUUGUCCUUUGAAGGACAGUUAAAUAAGAAAUAAAGCUGAACAAAAAAACUACUAGUACAAUUUUUUGUGUAAGGAAAAAAAUAUGUUUUCUUUAAACAAGGUAAUUUACUUUGCUUAAUGAGUUGUAUAAAUAAUAAGAUAU